RNAcentral lists this ribosomal RNA (2903 nucleotides) under Proteus mirabilis. RNAcentral's name for it is "23S ribosomal RNA". It matches the Rfam family "Bacterial large subunit ribosomal RNA". Lineage: Bacteria; Pseudomonadati; Pseudomonadota; Gammaproteobacteria; Enterobacterales; Morganellaceae. The record is from RNAcentral.
GGUUAAGCGAAUAAGCGUACACGGUGGAUGCCUAGGCAAUCAGAGGCGAUGAAGGACGUGCUAAUCUGCGAAAAGCGUCGGUAAGGUGAUAUGAACCGUUAUACCCGACGAUAUCCGAAUGGGGAAACCCAGUAUCCAAUGGAUACUAUCAUUAACUGAAUCCAUAGGUUAAUGAGGCGAACCGGGAGAACUGAAACAUCUCAGUACCCCGAGGAAAAGAAAUCAACCGAGAUUCCCCUAGUAGCGGCGAGCGAACGGGGAGCAGCCCAGAGUCUUAAUCAAUAGCAGUGUCAGGAGAACGGUCUGGAAAGUCCGGCAGUAAAGGGUGAUAGCCCCGUAUCUGAAGAUGCUGUUAUUGUGAACUCGACGAGUAGGGCGGGACACGUGUUAUCCUGUCUGAAUAUGGGGGGACCAUCCUCCAAGGCUAAAUACUCCUGAUUGACCGAUAGUGAACCAGUACCGUGAGGGAAAGGCGAAAAGAACCCCGGCGAGGGGAGUGAAAAAGAACCUGAAACCGUGUACGUACAAGCAGUAGGAGCCUCUUUAUGGGGUGACUGCGUACCUUUUGUAUAAUGGGUCAGCGACUUAUAUUCUGUAGCAAGGUUAACCGUAUAGGGGAGCCGUAGGGAAACCGAGUCUUAACUGGGCGAAUGAGUUGCAGGGUAUAGACCCGAAACCCGGUGAUCUAUCCAUGGGCAGGUUGAAGGUUGGGUAACACUAACUGGAGGACCGAACCGACUAAUGUUGAAAAAUUAGCGGAUGACUUGUGGAUGGGGGUGAAAGGCCAAUCAAACCGGGAGAUAGCUGGUUCUCCCCGAAAGCUAUUUAGGUAGCGCCUCGUGAACUCAUCUUCGGGGGUAGAGCACUGUUUCGACUAGGGGGUCAUCCCGACUUACCAACUCGAUGCAAACUGCGAAUACCGAAGAAUGUUAUCACGGGAGACACACGGCGGGUGCUAACGUCCGUCGUGAAGAGGGAAACAACCCAGACCGCCAGCUAAGGUCCCAAAGUCAUGGUUAAGUGGGAAACGAAGUGGGAAGGCUCAGACAGCCAGGAUGUUGGCUUAGAAGCAGCCAUCAUUUAAAGAAAGCGUAAUAGCUCACUGGUCGAGUCGGCCCGCGCGGAAGAUGUAACGGGGCUAAACCAUGCACCGAAGCUGCGGCAGCGACACAAAGUGUUGUUGGGUAGGGGAGCGUUCUGUAAGCCUGCGAAGGUGUACUGUGAGGUAUGCUGGAGGUAUCAGAAGUGCGAAUGCUGACAUAAGUAACGAUAAUGCGGGUGAAAAACCCGCACGCCGGAAGACCAAGGGUUCCUGUCCAACGUUAAUCGGGGCAGGGUGAGUCGACCCCUAAGGCGAGGCUGAAAAGCGUAGUCGAUGGGAAACGGGUUAAUAUUCCCGUACUGGUGGUAACUGCGAUGGGGGAACGGAGAAGGCUAGGUUGUCCGGGCGACGGUCGUCCCGGUUCAAGCAGGUAGGCAGAGUGAUUAGGCAAAUCCGGUCACUUAAUGCUGAGAUGUGAUGACGAACCACUAAGGUGGUGAAGCAAUUGAUGCCCCGCUUCCAGGAAAAGCCUCUAAGCUUCAGGUUACCAACAAUCGUACCCCAAACCGACACAGGUGGUCAGGUAGAGAAUACUCAGGCGCUUGAGAGAACUCGGGUGAAGGAACUAGGCAAAAUGGUGCCGUAACUUCGGGAGAAGGCACGCUGGCGGUAGGUAAAGUCCCUCGCGGACAGAGCUGAAGCCAGUCGAAGAUACCAGCUGGCUGCAACUGUUUAUUAAAAACACAGCACUGUGCAAACACGAAAGUGGACGUAUACGGUGUGACGCCUGCCCGGUGCUGGAAGGUUAAUUGAUGGGGUUAGCCGUAAGGCGAAGCUCCUGAUCGAAGCCCCAGUAAACGGCGGCCGUAACUAUAACGGUCCUAAGGUAGCGAAAUUCCUUGUCGGGUAAGUUCCGACCUGCACGAAUGGCGUAAUGAUGGCCAGGCUGUCUCCACCCGAGACUCAGUGAAAUUGAACUCGCUGUGAAGAUGCAGUGUACCCGCGGCAAGACGGAAAGACCCCGUGAACCUUUACUAUAGCUUGACACUGAACAUUGAGCCUUGAUGUGUAGGAUAGGUGGGAGGCUUUGAAGUGUGGACGCCAGUCUGCAUGGAGCCAACCUUGAAAUACCACCCUUUAACGUUUGAUGUUCUAACCUAGGCCCAUAAACUGGGUCGGGGACCGUGUCUGGUGGGUAGUUUGACUGGGGCGGUCUCCUCCUAAAGAGUAACGGAGGAGCACGAAGGUUGGCUAAGCAUGGUCGGACAUCAUGCGGUUAGUGCAAAGGCAUAAGCCAGCUUGACUGCGAGAGUGACGGCUCGAGCAGGUACGAAAGUAGGUCUUAGUGAUCCGGUGGUUCUGAAUGGAAGGGCCAUCGCUCAACGGAUAAAAGGUACUCCGGGGAUAACAGGCUGAUACCGCCCAAGAGUUCAUAUCGACGGCGGUGUUUGGCACCUCGAUGUCGGCUCAUCACAUCCUGGGGCUGAAGUAGGUCCCAAGGGUAUGGCUGUUCGCCAUUUAAAGUGGUACGCGAGCUGGGUUUAGAACGUCGUGAGACAGUUCGGUCCCUAUCUGCCGUGGGCGUUGGAAGAUUGAGAGGGGUUGCUCCUAGUACGAGAGGACCGGAGUGAACGCACCACUGGUGUUCGGGUUGUCAUGCCAAUGGCAUUGCCCGGUAGCUAAGUGCGGAAGAGAUAACCGCUGAAAGCAUCUAAGCGGGAAACUUGCCUCGAGAUGAGUCUUCCCUGUCGCUUUAAGCGACCUAAAGGAACGUUUAAGACUAAGACGUUGAUAGGCUGGGUGUGUAAGCGUAGCGAUACGUUGAGCUAACCAGUACUAAUGAACCGUGAGGCUUAACCUG